RNAcentral lists this ribosomal RNA (1890 nucleotides) under human gut metagenome. RNAcentral describes it as "bacterial LSU rRNA". It matches the Rfam family "Bacterial large subunit ribosomal RNA", at positions 1154 to 2925 of the family's 2925-position model. The record is from RNAcentral.
UGGUUCCGCGCCGACAAUGUAGCGGGGCUCAAGCACACCACCGAAGACGCGGCAGUAUUUUGUACUGGGUAGGAGAGCGUCCCAUGAGGGGCGAAGCGGCCGUGUGAACGCGCCGUGGACUUCAUGGGAGUGAGAAUGCAGACAUGAGUAGCGAGAGACGGGUGAAGAUCCCGUCCGCUGGAUGACCAAGGGUUCCAGGGCCACGUUCAUCGUCCCUGGGUGAGUCGGGUCCUAAGGCGAGGCCGACAGGCGUAGUCGAAUGGAUGAACGGGUCGAUAUUCCCGUACCGGCUUUCAGCCGCCAAAACCGAGGCUUGGAGUACUAACCUCCGGGUCCGGGCUUACUGCUCCUUCGGGGGCGGGAUGCCCUGGCCUGUUGGGACCGAUCCUUGUAGUAGGUCAGCGCAGGAGUGACGCAGAAGGGUAGCCGGCCGCGGAGGUGGUCUUCCGUGGUCAAGCACGCAGGGCGUGGGACAGGCAAAUCCGUCCCGCAUGGGUCCGAGGUGCGAUGAUGGGGGCCUUAUGGCCCGAUAUCCGGUGAUCCCGGCUGCCGAGAAAAGCUUCGGCGUCAGGCUCGAAGCCGCCCGUACCCCAAACCGACACUGGUGGUCAGGUAGAGAAUACCAAAGCGAUCGAGCGAAUCCUGGUCAAGGAACUCGGCAAAUCACUCCCGUUCCUUCGGUUUAAGGGAGACCCCCGAUGGUGAACACACUUGCUGUGGGAGCUUUUGGGGGUGGCACAGACCAGGGGGUAGCGACUGUUUACCAAAAACACAGGUGCAUGCGAAGGCGAAAGCCGCUGUAUAUGCACUGACGCCUGCCCGGUGCCGGAAGGUUAAGAGGAUCCGUCAGUCCUUCGGGAUGAAGCGGUGAAUUCAAGCCCCGGUAAACGGCGGUGGUAACUAUAACCAUCCUAAGGUAGCGAAAUUCCUUGUCGGGUAAGUUCCGACCUGCACGAAUGGCGUAACGACUUCCCCACUGUCUCGACCAGGAGCUCGGCGAAAUUGCAGUACGAGUAAAGAUGCUCGUUAAGCGCAGAAGGACGAAAAGACCCCGGGACCUUUACUAUACCUUGGUAUUGGCAUUCGGUGUGGAUUGUGUAGCAUAGGCGGGAGGCCGAGAGGCGCGGUCGCCAGAUCGCGCGGAGCCGUAAGGUGAAAUACCGCUCUGUUCGCAUUGGAUGUCUAACCUCGAACAGUCAUCCUGUUCAGGGACAGUGCCUGGCGGGUAGUUUAACUGGGGCGGUUGCCUCCCAAAGAGUAACGGAGGCGCCCAAAGGUCCGCUCAGCCCGGUUGGCAAUCGGGUGGCGAGUGCAAGUGCACAAGCGGGCUUGACUGCGAGGACGACGGUCCGAGCAGGGACGAAAGUCGGGACUAGUGAUCCGGUGCCGGUGUACGGACGCGGCAUCGCUCAACGGAUAAAAGGUACCCCGGGGAUAACAGGCUGAUCAUUCCCAAGAGUCCAUAUCGACGGGAUGGUUUGGCACCUCGAUGUCGGCUCGUCGCAUCCUGGGGCUGGAGCAGGUCCCAAGGGUUCGGCUGUUCGCCGAUUAAAGCGGCACGCGAGCUGGGUUCAGAACGUCGUGAGACAGUUUGGUCUCUAUCCUCUGCGCUCGUUGGAAUCCUGAGGAGGCCUGCCCAUAGUACGAGAGGACCUGGGUGGACGAACCUCUGGUAUGCCGGUUGUCACGCCAGUGGCACGGCCGGUUGGCUACGUUCGGAAGGGAUAACCGCUGAAAGCAUCUAAGCGGGAAGCCUGCUCCAAGAUAAGCAUUCCGUGGAACCUUCGAGUUCCUGUAGUCCCCAUGCAGAACACGUGGUCGAUAGGCCGGACGUGGAAGCCCCGCGAGGGGUGGAGCCGACCGGUACUAACGGACGAAAGGCAACACCAA